RNAcentral lists this long non-coding RNA (26603 nucleotides) under Triticum aestivum (bread wheat). RNAcentral's name for it is "long non-coding RNA (TAES_LNC009252)". Lineage: Eukaryota; Viridiplantae; Streptophyta; Magnoliopsida; Poales; Poaceae. The record is from RNAcentral.
UUUACUUUAUUUUGGUGAUAAUUGUUGUAUCACUCCUGAUAACUCGGGCAUCUCAUGUCUUUCUCUUGGUGUUGGACCGGGGGCAAAUCUCUCAGGGAGGUAGCUCUUGUGGCUUUUUCAAAUGGUGUGACGAUCAGCAGCAGCCUAGGACAGCUGCUCCACUGCAAGGUGGUUCAUCACCAUAUCAAGCUGGCGCUACCCCCACCAACCAAAGCAUGAGCAAGAGCUCUUCGGGCUGCUUCAAAUGCGGGCAAGAGAACCACUGGGCGAAGGACUGCCCGAAUCAAUCUUCGGAUCCUUACUCUGACAAAGGCGGGAGGGCAUUAAGUUCAGCAACCUCAUCUGAUGGGUGUUUCAAGUGUGGUAAGGCUGGUCACUGGUCCCGUGAUUGCCCUGUUGCAAACAGUGGUGGUGGUGGUGGUGGUGCCGUCGCCAGCAAUGUCAAGUCGUCUUCUACUUUGGGCUCAUGGAACAGCAGGAGAUACUGAUAGCAGGUGCCCCUGUGAACUCAAUUGAACUGACGCGGACAUGCUGUACGAAACUUGGACAGAUGACCUUUGCCACUUGUUGCUUAGGUACGCUCUCUCGCCGAUGCCACUUGCAGACCUGCCACUAUUUAGUUCCAGCAAACGGGAUUUCCUUUUGAUAUCCUGCGUCUAUCCUGGUUGCUGUGUGACUGUCGAACCUGUACUAUCUGCUUUAGGCAUUUCCACUUUUGUGAACAAGAAAAAGCCAUUAUGCUAUGUUCACCAGCAUGCCUUGCACCUGCAGUUCAAUAUCAGCUACAUGUUCAUGUUAUCUCUUUUUCUCUCUAAAAAAACUCGAUGUUUAUGUUGCUGUUUCCUUUGAAUACUUUUUUUGAGGGUGUUCCUUUGAAUACUUGCUAUAGAUAUUUCUGGAGUUUGAGAUGGAGUUAGUAGAUAGGAUACUAUUUAAAGUUAGACCCUGGACCCUGUACUCUACAACUAAAUAAUACUAGAGUAGUAUACAGUCCCACCUAUGACAAGACUCACUCAUCAAGUGAGGCAGAGCCAUGAAAGGGGCGGGACAAUUGUUCUCUGUAGAGGAACUUAUUACGCGCACCCACUGUGCCAUACACUUAGGACCCAGCUAUUAAAGGAUAGGAACAAAUUAAGGCUGACCCUAGAGAGCGCUGCUAUCCGCUCCAGGCCACGGAAGUUGCACAUGGUUGCUAUAUGCAGCAGUAGUACGAGCUGGUCGACGCGAGGGUGGAAUCUCCAGAGAUUGGUUAGCACACAGGAGUAGUAAUCGCGGCUGUCCUGUCCUUUGGCGUGCGUGGUCCUGGGGAGCGGUGGUGGCUGGUGCCACGCCAGUUCAACUGCAGGAAUGGUUGGCGCCAUUACAUGUGCCGAUUGUUUGCCACUCAUCAAAGCCUUUGGCCGGCCAUAGUACCUGACACUACAGGUCGGUUUCCCUCAGCGAUCCCGCGGUCCCCUAUCCCCCCUAGCGCCUUGGGGCGCAGAUCUGAGAUGCCCCUCUCCCCGCCUCCACUACGAACCCAAAGCCUUGCUGGGAAAGAUUUGCUGUUUAUUUGUUCGCUGUCUAUUCAGUCGGUUGGCCCCCUCCGUUCUCCAUUUGUUGUUUGUUUGUUACGUGCACUCAGUGCGAGGGAGAGUGCUUUGGCACGGCCAGGUCUCGUUUUCCCAAUAGUCAAUGCUCUCUCUGUUGGUAGAGUUCCCUCGAGACAGAUUGCGUAGACAGCAGUAGUAGUAGCAGCAUCUUUCUGAAAGAGUAAUGGGGACUAUGAUGUCAACAAAGAAAGUUUCCCAGUCGAGCCAUCUAUCCCAGUUACACUAUAUACUAUUUGAUUUUAUCUCUCUGAAUGUGGAGAUGUCAAUAAAUAUUAGUACCGUUAUACUACGUACUACUAGCAGACGCACGGAGCUGUUUUCCUCUGCUGCAAGUAUCUCCGUACUCUUGGUAAUGAACUUUGACAGAGUAAUGUUCUUUGCUUUUACUAGUACUAGUACUUACCAAUAAUCAUCUGCCUGACAAUCUGGUCACUGUGUCUACACGUGGACUAAUUAAGUAGCAACUCCUCCUUUUUUUUUCUACAAUACUCCCUCUUUUUCUAGAUAUAAAACCUUUUAGAGAUUUCAACACUGAUGUAUGUAGACACAUUUUAUAGUGUAGAUUCACUCAUUUUGCUCCGUAAUGUAGUAUGUAUCUGAAUCUUUAAAAAGUCUUAUAUUUAGAAACGGAGGGAGUAACUCCCUGUGCACCGGUUUCAUUGAUCAACAACAGCAGCCUCCUUGUAAAAAGAAUUAGCAACUGAGUAGCAACUCCUCUUUUGACAGAGUGGUAACAAAUGUUCUUUGCUUUUACUUUACUAGUUGUAGUAGUAGUCACCAAUAAUCAUCUGCCUGACAACCUGGUCACUGUGUCUACACGUGGAGUAAUUGUGUAGCAACUCUUUUCUUCUUCUCUUCUUCUCUUCUUCUGAUAACUCUCUCUGCACGGGUUUCAUUGAGCAACAGCAGCCUGUGUAUGUGUAAAAAGAAAAGGGUCAGCGGUUGGUUAUCUAGGUCAGCCAGCCAGACACUCCAUCCUGCAAUGCCCAAGCUGACGCCUCCGUCUGGCGGGGAUGUGAGUACGCUAUACGGAGGCCUCCAGCAUCGUAUUUUUACCCCAUGGCGCCAAGCAAGCGAAGCGUCCAGGGCGCAGCCCCGUUGCCCAUGCCAUGUCCGGUUGGGCACCACCACCUUGUCGUCGUCGUCCUCCCCGCUGCCAUGCCACAGGAAAAAAGGACCACCUGGAACUAGAGCGAGAAAAUGGUAGCCAUGGAGCGCAACGGGACAAACCCGGUGGGCCCCGCCGCCCAUAAACUCCCCCUCCUCCGCUUGCCGGGGCUUCCGCCAGUGGGUCACUUCCGCCACCGUCCCUCUCAGUCUCAGCCCCGCCUCUGCCUCUUGCACCAACUAGCCCUGCCCAGCCGCGCAAGAUGCCGUCCCGGUUCUUCUGCGUGUCCCAGGGCACACGGCGUCCCGCUCCUCCGACGUGUCUCUUCCCCAUUGGCUGCCUCCCGUGUUGCCUGCGCCGCUCUGCCCACCCCAGGCCAGAGGGCCUCCUCGCCCACUAGGCCACAGACGCGGCUCGUCUCGCUCUCCGAGGGGGUGUUUGGUUUAGUCACUUUUAGUCCCAGAGACUAGCUAAAAAGUCCCUGGGAACCAAAUAUGAGGGACUUUUUUUACAGGAACUAGAAAAAAAUUCUACUGGAGAGUCUUUUUUAUUAGUCCCUGUGACUAGAAAUAUCACAUCACUCCGUGCGGUGCGAGCUCGUAAAUAUCUCGUCGCAUCCAUCGCUGCCGGGCUGGGUGGUGGUGAUGCGUGUCUGUCCCUCCAUCGACGAGCUCGUACUACCGCCGGACUGUACCCGCGUCUUGUUCUGUCUCGCUUUCUGGCUUUUCGCGCGUCGCUUCGUGUUUAGUUACGCGGUGCUCGGGGCAUCCACUGUGCAUGCGGCCCCACCCGUGUGGCGCUCUCUCUCUCUCGCCGCGCGGUAGAUGGAUGGGUGAUCAAUUAUGCGACGUUGCUACUAGUGGUAGUGUGGCUUUUACUACAUUUGUUGUUUGAUGUGAUGAUGGGUAGUAGUGGUAGUAGUCGCCAUGUUCAUAUGGGGGCGGCCACGGCCAGUGCCGCUAGCUAGCCUUUCCGUCUCAUCUUUUCGACCCGGAUGAGGUAACUCGUUUGUUUCCCGGCCAUGUCUCGCUUCUCCCUCCCUCACCGUGCGUGCUGAUUGGGGUUAGUAGGUCACGUCGCUAGUCUUUUCCUCUCCCUCUCCGUCGACUUUUCUUUGCCCGGACUCCAGCUCUUCUGCCAUUUUUUCUUGCUUCUCACAGUGCGUGCGUAGCGCGGCCUACGAGCUGCCGGUGAUGAACUGACGAUGGACAAGUCCUACUACUUUGAAAUCGGCAGAGCGAGAGAGAGGGAGAGUAUUCACAAGAACCUGCCAGUUUCUUUUCACCGUAACAAUACAGUUCACGUAUCCCGAGCAUGGAGUAACUAGCUGUGAAGGAGACAAUGGGAGUGAGUUAGUUUAUUACGGACAACAAGUUCCAAGGACCAGUUGAGCCAGUGAGACGUGAGGUGAGGGUGAGACGGCCAGACGGGCCUGGUUACACUCUCUCCACGUCCACUUUCCGGAACGCCAAAACCAAAAUUCGCCCAUACACAAGAAGAAAUUCACAUUCACUUUGAUGAGUUGGAAACCUGUCCUUUCCGGACGGAAACUCGACGGGCGCGUCCCUGUUUUGGACAAAAGCGUGAGGCGGACGUGACAGCGCGACGGAUCCAACCAGAUCUCUCUGAGGUGAGGCGAGGGUGAGAAAUAAAAAAUCGUGUCGCUGCUGCACCAGCUGCCCUUGUUUUUUCCUCUGUCACGGUUCAAGGGGGUAGCAAGCAACCGCAGACCGGGUCGCCGCGGUGACACUCACUAGUUUAGUUUAAUAUAGGAGCUGCUACAUCUGGUACAUGUGACCAUCGCUGUUUAGGGUGGGAAAAGUGGUGGUGUCAAUGGCUUGAAACUGGACUAGACGUUGGUUCCUUCUCUAGAAGUGGAAAGUGGCACAUGGUCUGCUGGACUGCAUGCAGCCACCGAUGAUAAAUAAAUACUAUUGCUACUAUAUUACUUUGCCGGCCAUGUUCCGCAACAGAGAUAAAUACGUACGGUAUGCUUUAUCUACUAGUAAUUCGUUGCUCUCUAUAUACGUAUAGUUUUUAAGUUGCUCUAUUUGUAAUGCGCUUUGCGGAGACGUACAAGUACGUAUACUUGCUCUCCAAACCAACUCCUGAACUGGCUGAGCACGCAGGUUGGCGGACUUGUUUGUCAGUGUCUUCAUUACCUGAUGUUAACGAACAGUACGGGGUCCUUCUUCUUUUUAUGAGUUCCGUACCUAAUCGUUCAGCAGCUAGCAGAAGAAAGGUCGGUGAGUGAGCCAGAUGGUAGUGCUAGUAGUAGUAAAUCCCAUUUUAAUUCCUGCAUUCCGGUUUGAGCGAUGGGUGCCGAGAACUCCAAAUAUGGCACGAAACGGAUGGCCCGAAGGGUGCCACACGGAGAGGCGCUUUCCAAUCACGCAGCCUUUCCUCCGUCCGUCCUGGCUCCUGGCUACGUACUCCUGUGUCCUGCCGCGGCGGCAGCGUUGCUCCUGUAGCUGGACUACACACCUCACGGAGCGCUACAGUGGUAAUGGCGUGUUGCGUGAAAGCAGUGCGCGCGCAGCCCCCCAGUGGCGCGCCACCAUGUGGCCGCGGCCUCCCAUGGCCGCCCAAUCCCACUUACGCCGGGGCCCCGCCCACUGGGCGCGAGCAUAUAUUCGCGUCACCACCGUCGCGACGGACGAGCCACCACCGGCCGGAGCCAACCAGUUGCUUGCUGGCCUCCUUUUCCAAGUCCUUUCUUUUCUCCCACUCGUGUGUGUGUGUGUGUAUGUGUCUGUGGUACCGUAAACAGAAUCCCACUACAUCUCCUUUGAUAACCAUGGCAUUUGUGGUACUACAGUUUAGCAUUUCCAAGUGAGAGUCGUAGGGCUGAGAGGCUGCCACUCAACUUGACAAGCAUAAUAAUUUAUCAGCAGCGGAAAGGUGGAAAAAGAAACCAAAGGAAAGGAAAUGGCGCACUCAGCCAGCCCGCCACAGUAGAGUAGCCCCCCCAUCAGUUAGCCAAACUGCUGAACUGCUGCUGCUACUCCACUUCUUCUCCUGCGUCCGUUGCCAUAUAUAGAAAAACAAACCAUCGCCUUUCUCCUGGGCCGAACCAUACAUACCACUCCAGUGCACGCACGCUCGCUUCCCCCGACCUCCCUUCCUCGCUCCCCCUUUGUGGAUAUAAUCAUAUCCUUUCCCACGACCUUGUUUAAUCGCCCACAAAUCCAACGCCGCCGCCGCCACAUGGACAUGGACUCGCCCCCUGUGCCUGUGCCCAUGCCGCCGUCCAAGCCGGCCGACCUCUCGCUCACGCUGGCGCCGGCCGCGCAGUCCGUCGCCGAGGCUGACGGGGGAGCCGGGGCGGGCGGCGACGGCGCGUGCGUCGACGGCAAGGACGUGCGCCUCUUCCCCUGCCUCUUCUGCAACAAGAAGUUCCUCAAGUCGCAGGCGCUCGGCGGCCACCAGAACGCGCACAAGAAGGAGCGCAGCAUCGGCUGGAACCCCUACUUCUACAUGCCGCCCGCCUCCUCAGCGCACCUCCACGCCAAUGCCGCACCGCCCAACUCCUCCGGCGCCACGGCCUCGGGGGCCUACGCCGGCUCUGGCGCUGGCGGCGCGGCGCACGCGUACGCCAGCCGUGCCUACGCGGCCUUGCCCACCACGUUCCCAAUCGCCUCCCACAGCUCCAUCAUGGUCGGCUCCGACCGGCUCCAGUACUACGCGCCGCCGCAGGGAGCGUCGGCGUCCUCGGCGGCGGCGGGCGAGCUGUACAGCAGCGGCAUGCAGCAGGUGUCCCGCUUCGCCGCCGCGCACCAGCAGCAGCUCCUGGCCGUCAGCAGCAGCAGCAGCGAGCGCGCGAUGAUGGCCGCGGCCGAGCAGCCCGGCGCCGGGCGCGACGAGCUGAUCGACAUGCUCAACUGGAGGCGGGGCUGCCACGGCCCGACCGCCUCGGCGGCCGCCACCACCCCCUCGCCGGCCAGCACCACCACCACGCUCACCUCCGGAGGCGGCAGCAACUACAACAACGGCGAGGAGGCCGAGGAGCUGGACCUCAACUUGAGCCUGUAGCAGCCAGCAGCGGUGAGCUCGCCGGCCGGCGCUGCCUCCAAUCCAAGUCCAAGUCCAAGACCAAGACAAGGUUAAUCCAUGGCCACGUAGUACCUCUACCCUUCUACCACUCCUAUUCGCCCGGCUAUUCAUGUCCCCUACCACCCUUCAGCACGACGUACGUACGUACCGCCCGCCCGCCCGCCCGCCCGCCCGCCAAGAUUAGCUGUUUUUAAUUAGAGAAGAAGAAGACGAAGAUGUUAAUUAAUUAAUUAGUUCCUCGAUCGGCCCUCCUUCAGCCAGUCUUUUGUACUAUGUUAAUGCUAGCGGUGAGCUGUGCUCCUUGUAAUCGUGCUCUUGAAUUUCACCCCCUGUUCGUCUGUUCAUCUUUUCUUAGCUUCUUUUCCCGGAUCGAAAUGGAAGAUGGAAUCGGCGCCAGCCACGGUGCGGCUCGUCGACAGUUGGGCACAGUGCGGGCGGGCGGGCGGCGUCGACAUGGCCGCCGUGGUUAAUGAAUGUUUGGCAUCUGCGGCGCAGCCGCAUCUGCCUAUCAAUCUAUCUUGGAUUUGGUGCUCUUUUGCCUUUGCUUAUUAUAUUAUUAUUGGUAAUUUUUUAUGGGCUCGAGUGAAGGCCCUCCUCCUACCUUUCAUCAUCACCGAUCCAGCUAGUAAUGGUAGUCGGAACCUCAACGCACGUACUCUACUCUAGUAAUAGUGCUACCAGUGUGAUGCUGCAGUGACGAACUGACCAAGGGUGGAAACUUUGUGUAGUCCAUCGGGUCGAACGUGUCGAAUCUGGCGUGGAGAUAUCAGCUGUUUCGACGAGGGAAUCAUUCGUUCUUUCGGGGGGUGGGGUGGGGUGGGGUGGAACGAACUGGGCCGGCCGGCCGACGGAGUCAGGUCGGGUCACGCACCCGCGGGACAAGCCGAUGCCGCCCAAUGGCAAUGGCAUCGCCAUCGCAGCGAGAUUCGUUGCUGGACGGACUGGACUGGAUGUGCAUGCGCACUGUGCCCCGUGCGCGCGGGGACGGGAGAUGGUCCAGAGCGCAGAGCAGAGCAGUUCAUUCGCUGGCUGGAAGCCGCAACGCUUGGGUGCGUCGAGCGGGCGUACGCGGGGCGCGGGGCAGCGGAGGGGGACAGUGGGGAGCCCGACGGCUGCCUUUUUGGUUCUUUUUCAUGGCCGGUCCCGUCUGUCGCCGUCGCGCAUCAGUCGCCCGCCCGGACCCUCGUUUUUCUUUUCUUUUUACCGGCUGGUAGAUAGAUAGAUACUCCCGUAUGUAUGUACUACCAGCGUCCAACCAAAAUGAGAUCGCAUGGCAUAUAUACCUCCGGGGAAAAACGUGUUCUACGGAAUACGAUUCGAAAGCUGUAUUUAUACUAUAACAAUAUGACCUGUCGAACGGAAAUGAUUGUCGUUUAUGCGCCAACUUGUAAUCGGAAGUUCGGAACUUAGGAUAUUUUUUCUAUUCUAAACGAUUGUUUGAGGGGGAGAUAAUGAGAUAGGGUGUUAAAAUGAGACUAGCCCUGGACGCUGGGGGAGUGUGUGUGUUUUUUUAGCAAAAGAAGGGCUUCCCCUUCCGGUUUUCAUUAAGGAAAACCAUGAAAACCAAUAGUUUGAGCUACAAGCACCAGUCCACAAACUACCAUAAGCUACUCCAUCCGUUCCAUAAUGUAGUGACUAUAUAUUUUUUCUAAAAGUCAAACAUUACAAACUUUGAUCGUAUUUAUAGAGAAAAAUAGGUACAUCUACAGUACCAAAUGCACAUCAUUGGAUAUACCAUGAGUUAUAUUUCCGUAAUGUACAUGUUUGGUGUGUAGAUGUAGACGGUUUUCUCAAUAAACUUGGUCAAAGUUGGUAAAGUUAGACUUUAAAAAAAAAAAUAUGCACUACAUUGUGGAAUGGAAGGAGUACCAUACUACUAGAAGACCCAAGAUAAAAGCAAACAACUCCUUAGGCGCACUCCCGGACAUACCGAAAAAUGUCACCAUUUGAAACCAAAGCCCCACUCCCAGGAGGGGGAAGGGAACCAACACAACCACAUUAAAAAAAAGUACAGGAACAAAUUAAAAGGGAUAAGGGAUAUAACCCCAAAAGUACUAACGAUCUAAAAAUCACCACCACGACUACUGCAACUAAAAGAAGAAGCACGACGCAUCCAGCAGCCAGCAUCAAGCAAGGCCUACAACAGCUCCUCACCCUUCCAGCCUUGGCACGUUGUACCUCCAUCCUUGCGAAGCUUUAUACACAUCACUUGCUACAUGUUCUAGUAGCCUUGUUCCUAAGUCCAACACCCUUUUGUUUUGUUUCUUUGUCUGCAAAAUAGACCAAUCAGGUAUACAAUAAUUGAUUAACUGAAUCCGCGUCAUGGGAUCAUUAAUUAUCUUGUUAUCAAAGAUAAUCCCAUUUCUACAUUUCCAAAUUGUCGAAAACAUAGCAGCCACACCAAUCAUGACUAAUUUUGUGUCCCCUUUCUUAAAUGUUUUGAGCCACCUCCCAAAGCAAUCUUCAAUGGAAGAGGGAGUAGAUUUCAAACCGAAAGUACAUUUAAGCAAGCUCAUUAGUGAAGCAACAAAACAAGAGAAAAAUAAGUGAUUCAAUGUUUCAUUUUUACCACAAAACACACAUUCCUUGGGCCCUCUCCAAUCCCUUUUUCUAUUUACCAAGCACAAAAACACUUUGAUGUUGGCAAGCACUUUCACCUUCCACAAAUUUUUUUGUGAAAAGUUACAGUCUUCAGUGACCAUUUUCCUAUACAAGGAUUUAACGAAAAAAUUCUAUCUCUGCCACUCCCCAUUUCAACAUCUACACAACUGUAUUUUAGGAUAUUCCACAGUUCUAGGGUUUCUCCUGUAGAGUUCUUCUAAAUCUGAAACCUCACCAUCCUUUCUGGAUGGCCUCGGCAAUUGUGAUGUUAUGAUCAAAACACAGAUCAUGUAACCUAGGAUAAUCAUCUUUUAAUGCAUUAUCAUCAACCCAGAUACCUUCUCAGAAUCUAGUGUUUUUACCAUCACCCAGUUUUUUCUUGGCAUAUUUGUAAAAGAUGUCUUCCACUUUCAAAAGACUGGACCAAAAUUGGGAAUCCCUAAUCUUUUUCUUAACUCUAGAAAUGCAGCCAUCAAGCACAUAUUUUCCUAGUAGAACAGAUUGCCAAAGCCCUUCAUCGGUUUCCAAUUUUCAAAAACAUUUAACUAACAGAGCUUUGUUCAUGAUAUCCAAAUUAAGAAUUCCCAGCCCCGUCCCCCCAAAGUCUUUAGGGAGGCAACAAUUCUUCCAGUUAACUACUACAUCCGUGCCAUAAUAUAAGAGCAUUUUUUACACUAGUGGGACAAUUCUUCUAAUUAACAAUUCUUCCAGCUCUUAUAUUAUGAGAGACGGAGGGAGCAGGUGAUAUUUCUUCUUAUCUUCAUCUUCUUGCCAAACCAAUCCGGCAGUAUAAAAAUAUGCUUUCUUCAUAAUUGCCACUGGCAUGGGAUAAAAAGACAUCAUAAAGAGAGGUAUGUUGGUCAAACAUGCUUGGACCAAAGUAAUUCCCCCUGCGAUGGACCCCCAAAGCCUCCCCUGCCAACAGCCACAUGUCUUCUCAAUUUUCUCUACCACUCCUCCCCAAUAUUUUUUCGUGAUCCUAGUAUCAGAAGCAUGCAUACCCAGAUAUUUCAUAGGUAAUUCUCCCAUUUUGCAUGUGAAAAAUUCUUGAUAUGCCUCUUUUUUUCUCAGUAGCCACCCCCCCCCCAAAAGAAUGAUCUCACUUUUAUGUAAAUUAAUUUUUAACCCUGACAUUUGUUCAAAGGCACAUAAAAUAAAUUUCAGGUUUUUAGCACUCUCGACAUCAUAUUGCAACAACAAAAUUGUGUCAUCUGCAUAUUGCAACAUGUUAUAACACCUUUAGUAACAUUAUUCCCUAGCACACCUUUUACUAUAUCAUUUUCUCUAGCAUUGUUCAUCAUAACAACAAGAGCAUCAUCGUCCUGUUUUUCGUAUUAUUUCAUCCUGGAAUCAUGUGUUUGCCUUACAUCAAAGUAGUGAUUGUCAGUAUCAUGCACGAAUGAGUUCCAAAGAGUGAAUUUUAUUGCUUUUUCUUGUCGGUUUUACUUGACAAUUCAAAAUCAAUAAAACGGAAGGAAGUUAGCAAGGUAGCGGAUGAUGGUGCUCCUUCCAAACUGAGAGCCUCUACAGAUUCUACUCCUCCAUCCCCCCAAGAUGAUUUCCAAGACAACACAUGCAUAGACACUCAACGUAGUUGUGUUGAUGAUGAGCACGUCUCCCCUAGUGCACCAUCACAAGUGCUCCCUCUAACUUGGCACUGUUAUAUGUGGUUGCAUGUUAUGUAUGAUGUCUAUUGUAUUGCUAAUUUUGUUGAAUUUCAUCUGCUUACUUUACACAUUAUACUUGUGAAUAAGACAUGUGUUCCUGUUUCUAGAACAUACAAUAUCUGUCUAUCACACCAUGUUCUUACAUCAAAGUACUACUGUUGUGUAACCUGCAACAUCAGGGAUAAUGCUCGAUAGGUUAACUAAAUCUAGAGGAGGAAGAAUGGAGAUCCAUUUUGAGGCAGGUUUAAAAAGGCCACGUGAUGCUACAGAGUCAGGCAAGUUAGUAUCAGAGGCAGCGGUUGCUGUUAGAUGUCAUGUACGUAUCCUCCCAACAUGGAUUCAGUACAGGAAUGACAAAGACGAAACCCAGUUCAACACCUUCCUCGACCAUUUAUUUGUAAGUAUGGUUAUGUAUGGAAACUAGUAAUAUCGUCUUGCUCUGUCCAAUACUUUCUAGGUUGCAGAUAAUGAGACUCCCAUAAUUUUCAACAGAUAAGGUUCAAGUUGGAUAGCCAAGAUGAUGCAACCAGACAAGCUUGCACCCAUGUUUUCAAGUCUGCUCUGCGACAGUAUCGGUAUAACUUGAGGAAAACUCACUUUGAAGGCAAGGCUAACAGUGAACUUGCCCAAACAUCUCAAGUGGAAAAUAUAUCGGAUGAAGACUGGAGAGGCCUCGUUAAACACUGGUCCGAUCCGAAGUAUCAGGUACAUUAUAUAUAUAUGUGAUCAGAUCACAUGUUGAAGUCCUAUUUACGCAUGUGACACACAAAUCUAUCUUCUUGUAGGUGAACUGUUCAAAGAACAAGGCCAACCGUACGAAAGUGAAAUUCCAACAGACGACAGGAUCUCGUAGCUAUAUUGCACACUGCGAGGCUCUUGUAAUUAGCUGCCGUUUCACUCUUUUCGCUGUACCAUAUUAUCAGAUCUAUAUUGACUUGUUCCAAAUGCAGAGGAAAUCCCGCAAGGACCAAAGAGUACCUGAACCAAAUGCUGUGGAAAUCUUCGAGGACUGUCACACCAGCAAGACGAAGGGCAUAACUACACCAGUCAAAGCCGCUGUUGUAAGUCCUUAAUCCUCGGGCCUUUUAACUACUACUUACUCUGACUCGUGCCUUGAACUGCAUUGUUUGCAGCCAAUGUCUAUUACUCUUUUCAAUUUUAUACAUAAUUGUCUUAGCGUACCAUUGCACCUUACAAGGUUUAAAAGAGAGGAGUGAUGUUCCAUUGAUCUUGACCUGUAAUCUAGUUUCGUGCUGGACUUGCCCACACAACGUUACAAUUGCCUGUUUGUCUGUUCUCAGUUGUUUUGUGAUAUGAAUGAUGUCAUAUUAUGCUUACCGUAUUAUAAACUUUGUCUCUUUAUCCUUAGCUAUCAAUACAAUGUGAAGAAAUAGACAAUACAUUAGCCAUGGUACAUGGUCAUAUGUUUGGAACCUGAUUUUAUUAUGUACUUUGCAGUAAAAUACAACUAAUAUUUUAUAUUAUGUUUGGAACCUGUAUAUAGACCAAAGCUAUUUAGUUUGGUUUUGCUGCCUCCUUAAUAUCUUCUGUUGUGGUACUACUAAUGUAAAAACUCAACUUUUCAGCAAGCUAUGGAAAAAAUGGUGGAACCGCCACCUUUUGAAGGUGGCGAGGAACCUAUAACCGCAAUGUCAGCUCUUGCCGCAGUGGGUCAGUACCUGUCCACUAACAGUGCCAAAAGCACGUUCCUGCGUAAUACUGGGUUGAUUGUUAAGGCAAUCUCGUUGAAAUUGCCUCAUGAUCAAGAUAUGCAAGCUCAAAAUAAUGUUAUAUCUGCGCUCUAGACACAAGUCCGUUCCCUAACAGAGACGCUUUGUGAAACAAGGACAAACAUUGUUUGAUGUCAUCAAGAUAUGCAUGGUUUUGAAACCAGACUAUCAGACAUUUGCUAUGUUGUUCAGGAGCCUAGGAGAAAUGAAGGCAAAGGUUAAUGGGCCAGAAUAUAGGAUGGGGUGGAAACGGCACAACGGGUUAACAAGCCAGGAACGGGCCGACUCUUGCCACGGGCCGAAUUUGGCCCAUUAGGGGAACUGGCCAGUAACGGGCCGGAAGUAAUCGAGGGCCGGAAAGGAGCCCAAGAACGUAUGGGCCGUCAGUAGGCCGAAAGCUAACACGGGCUGGAAACGGCCUGUCGUGGAUCUAAGACUGACAGUAGAAUGGGGGGUAGGUAUGAGGAGGCAAGAUCCUAGCUAUGGCGAAGUUGUACACACGGGUUUUACGAGUUCAGGCCCUUCGCAAAGGAAGUAAUAGCCCUACGUCUCGGUGCCCGGAGGCGGUCGACUGGAUUAUGCGUGUGUGUGUGUGUGUGUUACAGGGGGUGCGGACCCUUGUCCCAGAGGAGGGGGUGGCUUAUAUAGAGUGCGCCAGGACCCCAGCCCCCUCCGUUACAUAGGGUUCAAUGUAAAUAAAGACGAGGCGUUACUGGUAACGCCAGCCUUAAAUGCCUUAAAGAUUACAGAGUGAACGCUCGUCCGUUGCCGUUCCAGAUGACUCUUGGUCUUCAAUAGGUCGAGUGGAUUCUUGUAUGGUCGAGUGGUCGAGUGACCUCAGGAAGGAGGGGUCUCCGAGUAGCUAGUAGGUCGAGAGGAUUGCACUCGACACCUUUGUUGGGCCCUCCCUGUUGUCUCUUGAGCCUCUUUGCUUCUAGGACAGUGAUCCUGGAUAGGGCGUAUAGGUCAGGCCUAUGACCCUACCCCAGGUCUAUGUCAUCAUCAUUAGCCCCCGAAUGGAUUGAGGUCCGAGUGAAAAGAAGGUUGAAGUUGAUCUUGCUUUGACUCUUAUGUUUCACAACAUUUUUGAACGGAGGCCUGUGUUGGAACUUCGGCUUCGUUUUAGUCGCCUUGAUCGAUUCAGAAAUUGCCGACUGGAUUUAUAACGUCAUCCGUCGAGUGUUAUUUUUGACGCGAUUGAUUACGGCGUAUCCCGGAUUUCACGGGAUUCGAAAUUUCGGGGAAGCGCGCGGGGCGGAGCGCGCCGUGGUAAGCGGGGUGGAUAAACAGGGAUGUUUCGAUUUCUGUGCCACCUUUUUCGCCACGUAUCCCGCGCGUGACUGUUGAGGGAUUUGACAGGAUCGCCCGGGCCCACGCGUCAGCCACUCGAAAGUGGGCCUUUAAAAGUGAUGAGUGUCGGUGUCAUAACCGGCGGAUCUCGGGUAGGGGGUCCCGAACUGUGUGUCUAAGGCGGAUGGUAACAGGAGGCGGGGGACACAAUGUUUACCCAGGUUCGGGCCCUCUCGAUGGAGGUAAUACCCUACUUCCUGCUUGAUUGAUCUUGAUGAUAUGAGUAUUACAAGAGUUGAUCUACCACGAGAUCGUAGAGGCUAAACCCUAGAAGCUAGCCUAUGAUUAUGAUUGUUGUUCUACGGACUAAACCCUCCGGUUUAUAUAGACACCGGAGGGGGCUAGGGUUACACAGAGUCGGUUACAAGGGAGGAGAUCUAAAUAUCCGAAUUGCCAAGCUUGCCUUCCACGCAAAGGAGAGUGCCACCCGGACACGAGACGAAGUCUUCAAUCUUGUAUCUUCAUAGUCCAACAGUCCGGCCAAAGUGUAUAGUCCGGCUGUCCGAGGACCCCCUAAUCCAGGACUCCCUCAGUAGCCCCUGAACCAGGCUUCAAUGACGAUGAGUCCGGCGCGCAGAUUGUCUUCGGCAUUGCAAGGUGGGUUCUUCCUCCGAACACUCCAUGGAAGAUUUUGAACACAAGGAUCGUGUCCGGCUCUGCAAAACAAAUUCCACAUACCACCGUAGAGAGUAUAAUAUCCCACAAAUCUAAUCUGCCGACAAAUUUCAUAGCGUGACAUCACGCCACGGCCCGGUCAUUAUUCGAACUGUUUUUCUCAACCAGCUACUGCACAUAUUGCGAGGCGGUUUUAUUGGCACGUCUUGUCGAAGCAGAGAUCGUGUCCCCUUACCACGGGAUUCUCAUCAAUACGGGUGUGGGUAACCCAACUGCGCCGUCAAUCACGGCGCUUGGGGAAUAAGCGAGUUUACCAGGCAAGUGGGGAGGCGCAGAAUCCCUGCUGCCUUUAUAAGGGGAUAAGGACUCCCUUUUGCACCCACGCUUUCUUCUUCCUGAUCCAUUCCCCUUCGCUCGAGCUCCAGCGCCCGAGCGUUCGUCUUCUCUGCCCACAAAGGUCUUCCAAAAAUGUCCGGAUCUGGGGCAGGAGGCAAGUGGAUGGCCUCUACCGUCCAGGAGAAGGAUAUCAAAAAGCUUCGAGAGGCCGGGUAUCUGGCCAAGAAAAUCAGCCACCGUCUCCCGACGGCGGGACAGAUCGUUCCUACUCCGGAACCCCACGAGAGGGUUGUAUUCCUCCCUCAUUUUGUCCGCGGGCUAGGGUUUCCCCUCCACCCGUUCGUUCGCGGCAUCAUGUAUUAUUAUGGGAUCGAUUUUCACGAUCUAUCCCCCAAUUCCUUCCUCAACAUCUCGACAUUCAUCGUCGUGUGCGAGGAUUUUCUCCGCAUCUCGCCACACUUCGGCUUAUGGCUGAAGAUCUUUAAUGUGAAGCCCAAGGUAGUGAGUGGCGAGCACGCCGAGUGCGAGGGCGCUAUGGUGAGCAAGAUGCCCAACGUCACAUGGCCAACAGGCACUUUUAAUGAUUCCGUCAAAGAGUGGCAAUAGCAGUGGUUUUACAUCACUGAGCCGCGCGGCACGGAAUGGGCCGCUGCUCCCGAGUUCCGAUCCGGAGCCCCUCUGCGGCUUACGUCCUGGCCUAAGAAGGGCCUAAACUGGUCUUCGUCCGACGAACUGUCGGUGCUCCAGACGCGCGUUAAGGAUAUGGAAGACAAGAAUAUCGAACUUGUCAAUGUAGUUCAGGUGAUGUUAGUUCACCGGAUCCGGCCUUGUCAACACCGGUCUUGCAAUUUAUGGGAAUUCGAUCCGGCCAAGCACCAGACCCUGCGAGAGCUCUUUGGCUCCUCGCACAAAGACAUCUGGAAGGUGCUUUUCAAGUCCGGCAAAUCAUGGCCAGACUCGGCCGACGACCGCGGGUACCAACUGUCCCGCCCUGCAAGCUCGGUAAGUCAUUAUACGUUUUAUCCGCAUAACCCAAGGGAAAUGAUUAAUGUGUUUUCCACAACUCUCCUAGGGCUGGACGAAGAAGGUGCGGCGGAUCCACCGUCCGGCCCCGCUGCCCGAAGAACCGGCCGGCCCACUUCUGUCGAAGAUGCUGGUCCCGACGCCUUACAAGGCGCCGAAGAAGAAGGCCGAGAGGGAGGCCAAAAAGACCCGGGGCGGCCUUCGUCGCCGCGGCACAUCGGACACGAUAUCCAAAGGCUCCAACGCCCGUUCUGCCUCCAAAGAGGACGAGGAGGAGGAGGAAGACGAAUCCCCAGCGGGGGGAAGAAAGAAGAGGACGGCCUCCAUACACUUGGAGGCUGAGUCGCCUAAAAGGGGAAAAAACCCUCUUCCGGAAGAGUCCACUGCCGCCGCCGACAGUAGCCCGGAGUGGGAUCCCAGGGCCCAGCCCCUGGUGAACUCGUGAGUAUAUAAAAUCCGAACACGUUUAUGCGCCCAGACUCAUCAUGGCAUAAUAUUUUAACCUGAGCCAUUUUUUUUGUAGUCUGGCGAGGUCCUGCACCGAACAAUCCUCGUCAGAGGAUUUGCUGAGCUCGGAUGCUAUGGAGAGCGGGAUGCCCCCAAGGGCCCCUUCCCCCAAAUACAUGAAUAACACCGAAGCUUCGUCCCAGGAGGACCCCGGCCAAGGAGGGGAGGAAAAGAUCGUGAAGGCGGCGCCUGGAGGUCAAACUUCAGAGGCCGGAGACAUGGGGGAAAAGAUUCCCAUGGGAGUCGACGGCGGGGGCCAUCUUGAAUUUGGCCCCCAGCCGGAUGCAGUUCCGGAGACCAAUACGGCUCCAGAAUCAAGCAGGCGGCCUUCCUCGGCUGGAGGGGGCGUGCCUGUUCCACCGGCAACCUCUGUCCAUCUAGAGGUGCCGGAUGCUUUGUUGGCGGCGCUGAAGAGCGCCUCCAUCGUCGAUGAACACCGUGCCCUUAUGGGUGCGGUGAUUGAGAAGAUUCAGUCUGCUGAGAGUGGACUGAAUGAAGCCUGUAUCAGCCUUAUAAGAGGCUUUGAGGUAUGUUUUAUGAGGUUUGAAGAGUGUCAUAGUAUGGAUAGUAGCCCCUGAUACACUGUUCGGUGAAAGAAAGAACCGGACAGAGGAUCAAAUUUAUGUUCGUAGGAAGACUCACUUGAUGACAUCUAUCUCUCUUCUUUUGUAAGCAGGCGUCUGUAGCGGUUGCUGCCUCUCGUACUGUGGAGGUCUCCGGACUGAAUCAAAGUCUGGAGCGGGCCAAAGAAGAACUUGGCCAGUUGAAAAGGCAGUUGGAAGAUAAACAAGGUAUGCGCAAGCCUUGUUCGCGUUCAGUGCGAAAUAAUUUCCAGUAUGAUAAAAUAUGUGUCAUAAUUUGCGCCAGGGGUGAUGACCGAAGUCGAGGCUCUGAAGAAGGCUGUUGCCGAGGCCGGGGAAAAGGCAGCCGCAGAGCAGGCUCUUCGUGAGAAGCACGAGGCCAGGGUUAUGGAAGCUGAGCAAGAGCUUCAAGAGGCCGUGAAGAAGUGCGAGACCUUGGAGCAGAGUUUAACAGAGAAAGAAUCUGAACUCACCAGGGCUCAUCAAGCCGCGUGCGAUGCCCGGGGGGAAACCCAAGGCGCCCUGCAGGAGAUCCAAGAGGCGAGGAAGAUCGCGGCGGGUAAGGAUUUUUCCAUGUAAAGGAAGUAUUUGAGGAGAAAAUCAUGUUUCUAAUUUUGAGUUCGGAUUUCUCGAGGGGUAUUUGCGGAACUGCCCCGCAGCAUAUCGGAUGCCGCCCAAUUCUACCGAGCCGAAGAAAGGAACACUGCGGAUAAGCUCUUCUGGUCGCAGUAUCUAGCACCGAAUUAUCCGGUGCCUUUUGCCGAUCAACUGAAACAGCUGAUCGAACUGCAUAGAGCGGCCAAACUAGCCAUGAAGGAUUUGAUAUCCGGCUAUGGCCCCCCGAGCCGAUUCCAAGCAGCUACUUCGGGCUCGUGAAGCGGCUGGUGAGUGCCUGCCCUCGACUUGACGUCAUCAAGCGGUCGGUCUGUAUAGAGGGUGCGCGAAUGGCCUUCGCCCGCGCAAAGGUGCACUGGGGUAAGAUGGAUGCUGAAAAGCUGAUGACCGAGGGACCGCCAGAGGGAAAGGAGCACCGCAAGCCCAAGUUAUAUUAUGAAAGUGUCCUGAAAGGAUCCUGCCUUGCGGCGGAGCAAUGCAUCAAGGACAUUAUGUUUCCAUGAAUACAAUCAUGUUGUCCUUUGUAAUGUUGAACAAGGUCAUUUCUAUUAUUUAUUGCCUGUUAUAUAAAAGUUUAUCCUCAUGUGCGGCCGUUUUAUAUAUCAAUCUUGAGAGUUGGCCAGGCGUCGGCUUCUGCCCCCACGUAGGAAGUACGGGGGUGUUCGGGAUAAACCUGAUCACUCUUUAUCCCAGUUUUGGGUCCUUCGAAGGAGGUGUUUAGCACAACGAACCAGGCAAUCAGACUAUAGGGCUUUAUCACUCUCACUUAGCCAUAGGAGCUUUAGAAAAGGAAGGUAGGCGCAGCCCCUGGUGUUCGGAAGACCGUACGAGGGGCUCUAUAAGCACUUGAUUGGAAGAAAAACCGAUCCAUCGCACACUGCACUGGUUAUGGCAUUAUGCGGGAGAAAUCCUUAAAGAUUUUACAACCUCUCGAACAGCUGACCAGCUCUCGCCGUAUCAUGACAGUCAGUUUUCGGCUUCUCUACUGAGGUGCUCGUCCGGAAGAACCGGGACACAAUCGCAGUAGUUCUCCCUGUGCCGCCUUAGCCGAUAUAGCGGAACGUAAGGCAGCAAAACAUGGGAGCCGGGCAAACCCAAUAUUUGAACCAAGACAUGAUUCAGAGCUGAUGCAUAUAAUGCUAUAAGUUCGGGGUGCCGAACUUCCAUGAAGGUGUUCGGGCUUUAUUGCCGUAUUAUGGGUAAAAUGAAGCCCCUGGCAUAUUUAAGGCAUAUCACGGUGUACGGAUGCCGCUCAAUAAGAAAUAACAGCAGAUAAGCGUCAUAUAAAUCCAUAUGUUGUAUUUGAAUAGUACGUCGAUGCGUAUGAGUACAAGUAAAAAAAAAGAAAUACAACUGUGGAACCUACUGAGACCAGGGGGAAGAAGCCGUGUGCGGAUCCGGAGUAUAGUCGGAUGGUCAUCGCGGGGAAUAUCUAAGGAUUCCCCUGCAUGUUCGAGCUGCUUCCAUAUCACCAGUCCUGGUCUGCGCGAAGGUGAGCCUGCAAAGAAAAUGUAAGAAAUGUUUGUGUGCCGCAGAGCGGUUGAGCCGCGGUAUGUGGCCUGUCCUGGCCUUUGCCGGAGUGUUUAAUUAAGCUCUGGACUAGCCGGGCUAUCCUGCCGCGAAGUAGUCCGGAGUCCUUUGGCGGUGUCCGGGAGCCUGGCCGUCGACUCGAGGUUCGAAUGAAAGGUGCCACCCGUUGCUUCUGCUGUUAAAGCAGCGGUAUACUCCUUGGUGCCGUGGGGAAGUUCAGCCUUGCCAUUAACCGUGAUGACGCCGCGCGGACCGAGCACCUUGAGCUUACGGUAGGCGUAAUGUGGCACCGCGUUGAAUCGAGCGAACGCGGUUCGUCCGAGCAGUGCCUGAUAAUCACUGCGAAAGGGGACGAUGUCGAAGAUUAACUCUUCGGCACGGUAAUUGUCUGGUGAUCCGAAGACUACCUCGAGGGUGAUGGAGCCUGUACAGCUAGCCUCCACACCUGGUAUAAUGCCUCUGAAGGUGGCUUUAGUGGGCUUGAUCACCGAAUGAUCGAUGCCCAUCUUGCGCACUGUGUCCUGGUAAAGCAGGUUUAGACUGUUGCCUCCGUCCAUAAGGACUCGUGUGAGGUGGAACCCGUCAAUGAUUGGGUCGAGGACUAGUGCGGCUGGAUUGCCCUGAUUGGUGUUAACCGGAUGAUCCGUGCGGUUGAAGGUGAUCGGCCCUAGUUUAUAUUGUGGGACGACUGGUUCCGUUAAGUCGACAUCCCUAAGGGUGCGCAUCCGGUCCGGGUUGGGAGUGUGGGUGUCGUUUACCACGUUCACCGUUUGUAUUUGCGGGGGAAAUUUCUUUUGCCCUCCUGUAUUCGGUGAUCUGGGCUCCUCGUCGCCAUCAUCACUUUGAGACCCCUUAUCUUUGUUUUUGGUGCCUGACCUGCCGGCUUGUUUGAAGACCCAGCAUUCUCUGUUGGUAUGAUUGGCUGGUGUUCUUGGGGUGCCAUGAAUUUGGCAUGGGCGGUCGAGUAUGCGGUCCAGACUGGACGGACCCGAAUUGUCAUUUUUGAGUGGCCCUUUCCGCUGACCGGACUUAGGGCCACUAAAUCCGGCAUUGACUGCCGUAUCUUCGGCGUUUUCACCAUUUUUGCGGCGCUUGUGUUUGUUGCGUCGGGGUUUGCCGUUGCUAUCUCUGGCCUCUGAUGUGCCAGGGUUGCUUGUUGUGUUGUUGCUACGGGCCAACCAGCUAUCUUCGCCCGUGCAAAAGCGGGUCAUGAGUGUCGUGAGGGCUGCCGUAGAUUUUGGCUUCUCUUGGCCGAGAUGUCGGGCGAGCCACUCAUCACGGAUGUUAUGUUUAAAGGCCGCUAGGGCUUCGGCAUCCGGACAGUCGAAAAUUUGGUUCUUUUUAGUUAGGAACCGAGUCCAGAAUUUCCUGGCUGACUCUCCGGGCUGUUGUGUUAUGUGACAUAAAUCUUCAGCAUCCGGUGGUCGCACAUAAGUGCCCUGGAAGUUGUCCAGGAAUGCGUCUGCCAGGUUCUCCCAACUUCCGAUGGAGUUUGCCGGCAAGCUAUUCGGCCAAUGCCGAGCCGGCCCUUUGAGUUUUAGUGGGAGAUACUUGAUGGCAUGUAGAUCAUCCCCGCGGGCCAUGUGAAUGUGGAGGAAGAAAUCCUCUAUCCAUACCGCGGGGUCUGGAGUACCAUCGUAUGAUUCAAUGCUCACGGGUUUAAACCCUUCUGGGAAUUCAUGAUCCAUUACUUCAUCAGUGAAGCAUAGGGGGUGUGCGGCGCCUCUGUGCUUGGCUAUAUCACGACGCAGUUCAUACGAGUCUUGUCUGCUGUGUUCGGCCCGGCCGGAUUUGCUUUUAGUAUAUCCGGCGUGACGGUCGUCGUCACGCGUUGGGGCGCGCCCCCGUGACCCGUAGAUCGAUCUUUUAUGUCCUGUUUUGUUGUCCAAUACGUCUCGCAGGUCCUGCGUGUUGCCCCGGGCCUUGGUGUUUUUGUUUGAUUGGCGACGGGGUGCGGGCUGGGCUUCGGUCUGAUAUGCCGCUUUGUCUCGGCCACGAGGUGGCCGGUCAGCCGCAUUAUACGCUGGUAGUGUAGGCUUUAAUGCUUCCUCCUCGAGUUGGGGUAGCAACCUGCGCUUUGGGUAACUUUUGGUUGGGCGCUCGAGUUCGUAUUCCUCGGCCGCCAGGACCUCGGUCCAUCUAUCCGCUAGCAGAUCUUGGUCAGCUUGAAGCUGUUGUUGCUUUUUCUUCAGGCUUUUUGCUAUGGCUAUAAGCCGGCGCUUGAAGCGCUCCUGCUCGACGGGAUCCUCAGGCACGAUAAAUUCUUCGUCGCCGAGGCUCACCUCGUUUUCGGACAGUGACAUGUAAUUGUCAUCCUCUGAUUCUUCGUCUGCUGCCUGUUUCUUAGGGCUAGCUUGCCAAUCCUCCCGCUCGAAACCUGGCUGGAGGGGAUUGUCUUCGUCUUCGGCACUAUCCGCAGCGUUAUUAUCUCUUGUGCCGGUAUCGCUGCUUUUGCUAUGGCGGGGCUUAGAGCGGCGCCGAUGACGCCGGUGCCUAGAUUGCUUCUCGGGGGGAGUAUCCUCCGUUGCCUUAUUGCCAUCGCUUUCUUUGGGGGUGUCCACCAUGUAUAUAUCAUAUGAUGAGGUGGCAGUCCAGCGCCCUGUGGGCGGUGGUUCCUGUUCUUCUCCUGCAUCGUCGUCCAUACCGUCGAUGUCUUCGGAGACGAAAUCGAGCAUGUCGGUUAAGUCGUCGACAGUGGCUACUAAGUGGGUGGUGGGUGGGGAACGAAUUUCUUCGUCGUCCGCUUCCCACUCAAGCCGGACAUAGUUUGGCGAAGGGUCUCCUGACAAGGAGAGAGACCUUAAUGAAUUUAGUACGUCGCCCAGGGGCGAGUGCUGAAAGAUAUCCGCGGAGCAAAACUCCAUGAUCGGUGCCCAAUUAGAUUCAAUAGGCACGGAUGCAGUCGGUUCGGAGCCCGUGGCCGGGGACGAAUCCAAGUGUCCGGCAACACAGGUCUCAUAGGAGGUGAAGUCAGUAUUCGGCUCUAUCGCCGCUGAGUGUGCGGCCUCCGUGGCGGGGUCCAUCCAUCCAUCCUCGAACGACGUGAUCUGCUCCGGAUUGAGGGCCGGAGUGGCCACAGGUGUGAUCUCCCGAACACCGUCCGACGGCAGAGCUAAGUCAUGCUCAUCGUGACUGUGCGGUGCACCUGACAUGGGCUCGAAUCCGUCGAAGAUCAAGUCUCCGCGGAUGUCGGCAGUAUAGUUCAAGCUUCCAAACCUGACCUGAUGGCCAGGGGCGUAGCUCUCGAUCUGCUCCAGAUGGCCAAGCGAGUUGGCCUGCAGUACGAAGCCGCCGAAUACGAAGAUCUGUCCAGGGAGGAAAACCUCACCCUGGAUCGCAUCGUUGCCGAUGAUUGAAGGGGCCCUCAAGCCUUUAUCGUGACAGCACAGUGGAACUCUUAAUGAAAGCACCAAUGUCGGUGUCAAAACCGGCAGAUCUCGGGUAGGGGGUCCCGAACUGUGCGUCUAAGCCGGAUGGUAACAGGAGGCGGGGGACACAAUGUUUACCCAGGUUCGGGCCCUCUCGAUGGAGGUAAUACCCUACUUCCUACUUGAUUGAUCUUGAUGAUAUGAGUUUUACAAGAGUUGAUCUACCACGAGAUCGUAGAGGCUAAACCCUAGAAGCUGGCCUAUGAUUAUGAUUGUUGUUCUACGGACUAAACCCUCUGGUUUAUAUAGACACCGGAGGGCGCUAGGGUUACACAGAGUCAGUUACAAGGGAGGAGAUUGCUACCUCUUGAGCACUGCGUUGGUUUUCCCUUGAAGAGGAAAGGGUGAUGCAGCAAAGUAGCGUAAGUAUUUCCCUCAGUUUUUGAGAACCAAGGUAUCAAUCCAGUAGGAGGCUAUGCGUGAGUCCCUCGCACCUACACAAAACAAAUAAAUCCUCGCAACCAACGCGAUAAGGGGUUGUCAAUCCCUACACGGCCACUUACGAGAGUGAGAUCUGAAAGAUAUGAUAGGAUAAUAUUUUUGGUAUUUUUAUGAUAAAGAUGCAAAGUAAAAUAAAAGCAAAGUAAAAAGCAAAGGAAAUAACUAAGUGUUGGAAGAUUAAUAUGAUGGAAAAUAGACAUGGGGGCCAUAGGUUUCACUAGUGGCUUCUCUCAAGAGCAUAAGUAUUUUACGGUGGGUGAACAAAUUACUGUUGAGCAAUUGACAGAAUUGAGCAUAGUUAUAAGAAUAUCUAGGUGUGAUCAUGUAUAUAGGCAUCACGUCCGAGACAAGUAGACCGACUCCUGCCUGCAUCUACUACUAUUACUCCACACAUUGACCGCUAUCCAGCAUGCAUCUAGAGUAUUAAGUUCAUAAGAACAGAGUAACGCCUUAAGCAAGAUGACAUGAUGUAGAGGGAUAAAUUCACGCAAUAUGAUAAAAACCCCAUCUUGUUAUCCUCGAUGGCAACAAUACAAUACGUGCCUUGCUGCCCCUAUUGUCACUGGGACAGGACACCGCAAGAUUGAACCCAAAGCUAAGCACUUCUCCCAUUGCAAGAAAGAUCAAUCUAGUAGGCCAAACCAGACUGAUAAUUCGAAGAGACUUGCAAAGAUAACCAAUCAUACAUAAAAGAAUUCAGAAGAUUCAAAUAUUGUUCAUAGAUAAACUUGAUCAUAAACCCACAAUUCAUCGGUCUCAACAAACACACCGCAAAAGAAGAUUACAUCGAAUAGAUCUCCACGAGAGAGGGGGAGAACAUUGUAUUGAGAUCCAAAAAGAGAGAAGAAGCCAUCUAGCUAAUAACUAUGGACCCGAAGGUCUGAGGUAAACUACUCACACAUCAUCGGAGGGGCUAUGGUGUUGAUGUAGAAGCCCUCCGUGAUCGAUGCCCCCUUCGGCGGAGCUCCGGAACAGGCCCCAAGAUGGGAUCUCGUGGGUACAGAAGGUUGCGGCGGCGGAAUUAGGUUUUUGGCUCCGUAUCUGAUCGUUUGGGGGUACGUAGGUAUAUAAAGGAGGAAGGACUACGUCGGUGGAGCAACAGGGGGCCCACGAGGGUGGAGGGCGCGCCUGGGGGGGGGGGGGGUAGGCGCGCCCCUACCUCGUGGCCUCCUCCUUUAUUUCUUGACGUAGGGUCCAAGUCUCCUGGAUCAUGUUCGUUCCAAAAAUCACGUUCCUGAAGGUUUCAUUCCGUUUGGACUCCGUUUGAUAUUCCUUUUCUGCGAAACUCUGAAAUAGGCAAAAAACAACAAUUCUGGGCUGGGCCUCCGGUUAAUAGGUUAGUCCCAAAAAUAAUAUAAAAGUGAAUAAUAAAGCCCAAUAAUGUCCAAAACAAAAGAUAAUAUUAGCAUGUAGCAAUCAAAAAUUAUAGAUACAUUGGAGACGUAUCAAGCAUCCCCAAGCUUAAUUCCUGCUCGUCCUCGAGUAGGUAAAUGAUAAAAACAGAAUUUUUGAUUCGGAGUGCUACUAGGCAUAAUUUCAAUGUAAUUCUUCUCAUUGUGGCAUGGAUGUUCAGAUUUGAUAUGAUUCAAGAUAAAAGUUUAAUAUUGACAUAAAAACAAUAAUACUUCAAGCAUACUAACUAAGCAAUUAUGUCUUAUCAAAAUAACAUUGCCAAAGCAAGUUAUCCCUACAAAAUCAUAUAGUCUGGCUAUGCUCCAUCUUCCCCACACAAAGUAUUCAUAUCAUGUACGACCCCGGUUUUAGCCAAGCAAUUGGUUCAUACUUUUAACGCGCUGCAGUCUUUUCAACUCUUACGCAAUACAUGAGCGCAAGCCAUGGAUAUAGCACUAUGGUGGAAUAAGGUAUAAUGGUAGGGGUUAUGUGGGAAGACAAAAAAAGGAGAAAGUCUCACAUCAACGAGGCUAAUCAACGGGCUAUGGAGAUGCCCAUCAAUCGAUGUUAAUGCGAGGAGUAGGGAUUGCCAUGCAACGGAUGCACUAGAGCUAUAAGUUUAUGAAAGCUCAAAAAGAAACUAAGUGGGUGUGCAUCCAACUUGCUUGCUCACGAAGACCUCGGGCAUUUUGAGGAAGCCCAUCAUUGGAAUAUACAAGCCAAGUUCUAUAAUGAAAUUUCCCACUAGUAUAUGAAAGUGACAAAAUGAGAGACUCUCUAUUAUGAAGAUUACGGUGCUACUUUGAAGCACAAGUGUGGUAAAAGGAUAGUAACAUUAUCCCUUCUCUCUUUUUCUCUCUUUUUUCAUUUUUUUAUUUGGGCCUUUUCUCUCUUUUUUAUGGCCUCUUUUUUUUUAGUCCGGAGUCUCAUCCCGACUUGUGGGGGAAUCAUAGUCUCCAUCAUCCUUUCCUCAGUUGGGACAAUGCUCUAAUAAUGACGAUCAUCACACAUUUAUUUUACUUACAACUCAUGAAUUACAACUCAAUACUUAGAACAAAACAUGACUCUAUAUGAAUGCCUCCGGUGGUGUACCGGGAUAUGCAAUGAAUCAAGAGCGACAUGUAUGAAAGAAUUAUGAACGGUGGCUUUGCCACAAAUACAAUGUCAACUACAUGAUCAUGCAAAGCAAUAUGACAAAGAUGAAGUAUGUCAUGAUAAAUGAAACGGUGGAAAGUUGCAUGGCAAUAUAUCUCGGAAUGGCUUUGGAAAUGCCAUGAUAGGUAGGUAUGGUGGCUGUUUUGAGGAAGAUAUAAGGAGGUUUAUGUGUGAUAGAGCGUAUCAUAUCACGGGGUUUGGAUGCACCGAAGUUUGCACAAACUCUCACGGUGAGAAAGGGCAAUGCAUGGUACCGAAGAGGCUAGAAAAUUGCGGAAAGGUAAGUGUGCGUAUAAUCCAUGGACUCACAUUAGUCAUAAAGAACUCAUAUACUUAUUGCAAAAAUUUAUUAGCCCUCGAAGCAAAGUACUACUACGCAUGAUCCUAGGGGAAGGGUUGGUAGGAGUUAACCAUCGCGCGAUCCCGACCGCCACACAAAGGAAGACAAUCAACAAAUACUUCAUGCGCCGACUUCGUUACAUAACGGUUCACCAUACGUGCAUGCUACGGGAAUCACAAACUCCAACACAUGUAUUUUUCAAUUCCACAAUUACUCAACUAGCACAACUAUGAUAUUACCACCUUCAUAUCUCAAAACAAUUAUCAAGCAUCAAAUUUCUCAUGAUAUUAAUUAAAUCAAAUUGCCAUGCUAUUUUUAGACUCUCAAAAUAAUAUAAGUGAAGCAUGAGAGAUCAAUAGUUUCUAUAAAACAAAUCCACCACCGUGCUCUAAAAGAUAUAAGUGAAGCACUAGAGCAAAACUAUAUAGCUCAAAAGAUAUAAGUGAAGCACAUAGAGUAUUCUAAUAAUUUCCGAAUCAUGUGUGUCUCUCUCAAAAGGUGUGUACAGCAAAGAUGAUUGUGGUAAACUAAAAAAUAAA